GAUGAACGCUGGCGGCGUGCUUAAUACAUGCAAGUCGAACGGAGACUGUAGCAAUACUGUCUUAGUGGCGAACGGGUGAGUAACGCGUUGGUGACCUGCCCCGAAGAGGGGGAUAACAGUCCGAAAGGAUUGCUAAUACCCCAUGUGGUCGUUUGGAUUAGAUGCCUUACGACUAAACGGAUUUAUUCGCUUCGGGAGGGGGCCUGCGUCCCAUCAGCUAGUUGGUAGGGUAAUAGCCUACCAAGGCGAUGACGGGUAGGGGACCUGAGAGGGUGGCCCCCCACAAUGGAACUGAAACACGGUCCAUACACCUACGGGUGGCAGCAGUAGGGAAUAUUGGUAAUCUGGGAAACCGGGAACCAGCAACGCCGCGUGCGCGAUGAAGGCCUUCGGGUUGUAAAGCGCUUUUUAAAGGGAUGAGGAAGGACAGUACCUUUAGAAUAAGCCUCGGCUAACUACGUG
This 462-nucleotide ribosomal RNA is filed under the name uncultured bacterium. Its description in RNAcentral is "bacterial SSU rRNA". It matches the Rfam family "Bacterial small subunit ribosomal RNA", at positions 28 to 507 of the family's 1533-position model. The record is from RNAcentral.